This is a long non-coding RNA of Cyprinus carpio (common carp), 329 nucleotides long. RefSeq lists it as uncharacterized. NCBI's taxonomy places the organism in Eukaryota, Metazoa, Chordata, Actinopteri, Cypriniformes, Cyprinidae. The record is from RefSeq and is a predicted model, not a curated record. The transcript has 3 exons.
UUUGUUUUGUUACUACAUCUCAUGAGGUCAAAAUCACAAACAAGUAUUCUUGAUUUUUACUGACUAAAAUAUACAAAAGGAAGUUCUAAUAAUAUUGUUUCUAUGAGUCAACUGAACCCUCCUCCUUCCUUGAUCUACAUCUCUCUUGCUUUAUUCCUCUCAAUUACAGUUCAGUCUCUAACUUCUUAUCAGUGUAGACACAAGUAUUCCAGGAAUAAUGCUGCUCCGUCAGAAUUUUCUCAUCAUUCUUGUGUUCUUUGGGAUGGUAUUGAGUGGGCUCAUAUACCUGAACAAUAUCCAGAACAGCUGCAAUCAGCAGAAAAAAGAAC